UGCACACUUAUGAUUGGGUACGUUUGCC
This 28-nucleotide small RNA is filed under the name Bombyx mori (domestic silkworm). RNAcentral's name for it is "ovarian small RNA-33434". The record is from RNAcentral. Lineage: Eukaryota; Metazoa; Arthropoda; Insecta; Lepidoptera; Bombycidae.